RNAcentral lists this unclassified non-coding RNA (299 nucleotides) under Curvularia sp. RNAcentral describes it as "partial contains 5.8S ribosomal RNA, internal transcribed spacer 2, and large subunit ribosomal RNA". The stretch from base 1 to 71 matches the Rfam family "5.8S ribosomal RNA", at positions 84 to 154 of the family's 154-position model. The record is from RNAcentral. Lineage: Eukaryota; Fungi; Ascomycota; Dothideomycetes; Pleosporales; Pleosporaceae.
GUGAGUCAUCGAAUCUUUGAACGCACAUUGCGCCCUUUGGUAUUCCAAAGGGCAUGCCUGUUCGAGCGUCAUUUGUACCCUCAAGCUUUGCUUGGUGUUGGGCGUCUUGUCUUUUGGCUCUUUGCCCAAAGACUCGCCUUAAAACGAUUGGCAGCCGGCCUACUGGUUUCGCAGCGCAGCACAUUUUUGCGCUUGCAAUCAGCAAAAGAGGACGGCACUCCAUCAAGACUCCUUCUCACGUUUGACCUCGGAUCAGGUAGGGAUACCCGCUGAACUUAAGCAUAUCAAUAAGCGGAGGA